AGGAGGAAAGGGCGUGGCUGCGGAGAGCAGAGUUGACAAACAGUGAGUCAGGUGGCCCGGGGCGUGGGCGCUCCGCCCGCAGGUGCAUUGCGUCCUGGCGGCGGUGCGGGCCUGCGAGGCCCACCUCUCGGCUACCCAAAGCCCGGGGGGCCUUUUCCCACAAAUGCUGGGGACCUUGCGAUAACUGGCUCGUAGCUGCUCCCACUGUCCUACCAAAUCCUGAAUAUCCGCCUCCUUUGCAUGCCAUUUACCGCCAACCAAAAUCCAGCGCCAAUUUAGCCUUCCAGCUGCAUCCCUGAUCGUUUCACUACCAUACUUAAAGCCCUUUGGACUCCCACUGACCUACAGUGGCUCCAUGGUUAAGCCCAGAAGUUCUGGAAUCAGACCUGGAGCUUGCAUUCUUUACCAGCUGUGUGGAUUUGGACAAAUUAAUUAACCUCUCUGAGUCUGUGUGCACCCGGAGUUUCAUUUGCAAACCAGGGUUCCCCUGUCAUCAUCUCAUUUAAGUCAUGGGUCUGGUUUGAGGUCACGAGGCCAAUUCGAGAGGCACAGUUCUGCAAGGAUGAAAGAUGGGAGUGGGGAAGACAACAAAGAUGGACGAGCUGGGGCCAUGAUGAUGAAGACGAUGAUGAUGAUGAUGGUGGCCGAGUGCCCUGUGAUUUACAGGCCCAUGUCGUUUCAUGUUUGCAGCAGCCAAUCAAGCACUCCCCAGGCCUUUAGAGAGGACAUUCUCCCACUCUCUUUUAUGGAAAGCCAUGGAAUCUUCUGUGUGGAUGCAGCCUGGGCAGCCAGAGAGGGGUGGCCACUGAGGCCUGGCCCUGGCCCUCACGUGGCCGCAGCUGACCCCUCCCCACCGCAGCUCUCCAGUCUCCUCUGCAACGUGACAGCCCUGGCUUCCCUACCGUUGGGAGGAAGUAUUUUUAGUUUUGAACCCACCACGUGAAGCGAGACAAGUUAUCAAUAGCAGCAGCAAAGGGCUUUUUCUUUCUCUUUUUUUUUUCCCCAUAUCUUUGGGACCUGAACAAUCUGCACCCAUUAAAUUCUGCCAAAAGAAAAAAAUAGUGUUCCUCUUAUAAACUUUUUACCCCACAGCUUCCUUGCUGCUGCAGCUUUGCAAACCCACUCUUCCUGGGGUGACCCCACCUGUCUCCGCAGCCCCCCUCUCCACUCCUGGGCACUGAGACCUGCCCGGGAACAGGCCCAUCUGAGCAGAGGGCCAGCGUGGGGCUCAGGCCACAGCUCCAGAGUGGGUGGAAUGAGGAGCUGGGGAGAGGGGAGAAGGCCCCCAGUUUCCCACUCACAGAGCUGGCAGCAGCCGCAGCCUCUCCUGAGUGCUUGCUGCAUGCCCAGGGCCAGGCCCAGCUCCUCUGAGUGCAGCAGCUCAGGGACACGCCCCACCCCACAGUGAAGGGCGGAGAAGGCGGCCUUCCCAGAGGUCUUUCCGGCUGUAAUUCCUUGUUUCUGGAGGAAGGGGUUCCUCAGUCAAGUGGGUUUGAGAAAACUAAACAAAGUGAACAGGGGCCCUCCCCAGCCUUAGGCUUCCCAGCGCCCGCACCACUCAGGGGCACUUGGAGGCUCCAGGGCCCAGGAACCAGCACCCGCCCCACUCAGGGGCACAUGGAGGCUCCAGGGCCCAGGAAGGGCCUGAUGCAGACCCCCGGCAUAUGAGGAUGGAAGUCCUUUUUCUAUGAAGUUUCUUUUUUUUUUUUUUUUUUUUGAGACAGAGUCUCGCUCUGUCGUCCAGGCUGGAGUGCAGUGGUGCCAUCUCGGCUCACUGCAAGCUCCGCCUCCCAGGUUCACGCCAUUCUCCUGCCUCAGCCUCCCGAGUAGCUGGGACUACAGGCGUCCACCACCUCGCCCCGCUAGUUUUUUGUAUUUUUAGUAGAGACGGGGUUUCACCGUAUUAGCCAGGAUGGUCUCGAUCUCCUGACCUCGUGAUCCGCCCGUCUCGGCCUCCCAAAGUGCUGGGAUUACAGGCUUGAGCCACCGCGCCCGGCUCUAUGAAGUUUCUUGCAGGACACUGGAGUGGCUUCCUGCCUUGCUGGGGGAAGCAUUUGAGCCAACAUGGCUGCCUGCCCUUUAGGACUGGUUAGAGCUGCAUUCCUGAGAAAGCUCAGAAUAACAGAGGCUUUGACAGGGUAGAAAUGUACUUUUCUCUCAGGUGACACAGGCCUAGGCUGUCCGGCUGGCAGGGUAUCAUGCAUCCUCAGGGACACAGCUCCUACCUUACUGUAUCACUCUCCUAGUGCUAGCUUCCAGCCUCAGUGUCACCUCCUGGCCCAAAACAGCUGCUGGUGCUCCAGCCAUCACAAGCACAGCUGACCAGAAAGGAGGAAGGAAAAGAGGAAGAGCAAAAGUGCUGCCCCUUAGAUGAGUCAGCUCCCUUUGAGGAUCUGUCCCUGAAGACACACCCAGCACUUCUGGGUGUGUCACAUCUCACUGGCCAGAACUCCAUCCUAUGUCACUUUUGGUAGGAUAGCAGCAUUUUAGCUAAGUGCAUUGCCAGCCUAAACAAAACAUGGGGCUACAGGGAGCAGGUUAGAGAUGGCCUCACAGCCAGGCCUAGACCAUCCCAGGCCCAGAAAUGUGGACAUCUCCAGAAGUGACCCAUAACUGCCCUGCCUCGGAAGAACCGACAGCCGCAGAUGCAAGACAGAGCGCCUGGUACACAUUCCCUGGCAUGCCUGUGGCACGAGGGCUGUGUUCCGACCCCAUGCCCCAGCGUGGUGCUGCAGUGGCCACUUCAGUGUUGGCCCUGGAGUUUCCCUCUUCCCGGCUGCGCCCUGACUGAUGGGAAGUGGGUUCCUGCUCCUUCUCGAAAUACCUGUUGAAAACCUGCUGCACUCUGCUGGCCCCACCCUGGGCGCUGGGGUACCUCCAGAAGCAGGGCACUCACCCCAG
Long non-coding RNA from Papio anubis (olive baboon), 2901 nucleotides. NCBI's taxonomy places the organism in Eukaryota, Metazoa, Chordata, Mammalia, Primates, Cercopithecidae. The record is from Ensembl.